Molecule: ribosomal RNA, 465 nt
Filed under: Vreelandella stevensii
Lineage: Bacteria; Pseudomonadati; Pseudomonadota; Gammaproteobacteria; Oceanospirillales; Halomonadaceae
Description: partial 16S ribosomal RNA
Rfam family: Bacterial small subunit ribosomal RNA
Source: RNAcentral
CCUACGGGUGGCUGCAGUGGGGAAUAUUGGACAAUGGGGGCAACCCUGAUCCAGCCAUGCCGCGUGUGUGAAGAAGGCCCUCGGGUUGUAAAGAACUUUCAGUGAGGAAGAACGCCUGGUGGUUAAUACCCAUCAGGAAAGACAUCACUCACAGAAGAAGCACCGGCUAACUCCGUGCCAGCAGCCGCGGUAAUACGGAGGGUGCGAGCGUUAAUCGGAAUUACUGGGCGUAAAGCGCGCGUAGGUGGCUUGAUAAGCCGGUUGUGAAAGCCCCGGGCUCAACCUGGGAACGGCAUCCGGAACUGUCAAGCUAGAGUGCAGGAGAGGAAGGUAGAAUUCCCGGUGUAGCGGUGAAAUGCGUAGAGAUCGGGAGGAAUACCAGUGGCGAAGGCGGCCUUCUGGACUGACACUGACACUGAGGUGCGAAAGCGUGGGUAGCAAACAGGAUUAGAUACCCCAGUAGUC